RNAcentral lists this ribosomal RNA (492 nucleotides) under uncultured bacterium. RNAcentral's name for it is "partial 16S ribosomal RNA". It matches the Rfam family "Bacterial small subunit ribosomal RNA", at positions 29 to 507 of the family's 1533-position model. The record is from RNAcentral.
AGUGAACGCUGGCGGUAGGCCUAACACAUGCAAGUCGAACGGCAGCACAGUAAGAGCUUGCUCUUACGGGUGGCGAGUGGCGGACGGGUGAGGAAUACAUCGGAAUCUACUUUUUCGUGGGGGAUAACGUAGGGAAACUUACGCUAAUACCGCAUACGACCUACGGGUGAAAGCAUGGGAUCUUCGGACCUUGCGCGAUUGAAUGAGCCGAUGUCGGAUUAGCUAGUUGGCGGGGUAAAGGCCCACCAAGGCGACGAUCCGUAGCUGGUCUGAGAGGAUGAUCAGCCACACUGGAACUGAGACACGGUCCAGACUCCUACGGGAGGCAGCAGUGGGGAAUAUUGGACAAUGGGCGCAAGCCUGAUCCAGCCAUGCCGCGUGGGUGAAGAAGGCCUUCGGGUUGUAAAGCCCUUUUGUUGGGAAAGAAAAGCAGCAGGUUAAUACCCCGCUGUUCUGACGGUACCCAAAGAAUAAGCACCGGCUAACUUCGUG